AUACGGGGGGUGCAAGCGUUAAUCGGAAUUACUGGGCGUAAAGCGCGCGUAGGCGGUUUGUUCAGUCGGAUGCGAAAGCCCAGGGCUCAACCUUGGAACUGCAUUCGAUACUGGCAAACUAGAAUGUGAUAGUGGAUAGUGGAAUUUCCGGUGUAGCGGUGAAAUGCGUAGAGAUCGGAAGGAACAUCAGUGGCGAAGGCGGCUAUCUGGAUCAACAUUGACGCUGAGGUGCGAAAGCGUGGGUAGCAAACAGGAUUAGAAACCCUAGUAGUCC
RNAcentral lists this ribosomal RNA (274 nucleotides) under uncultured bacterium. RNAcentral describes it as "partial 16S ribosomal RNA". It matches the Rfam family "Bacterial small subunit ribosomal RNA", at positions 523 to 796 of the family's 1533-position model. The record is from RNAcentral.